UGUUGCCGCAAGGAGGGGGCAUAUACCCAGAACAGUGAGCACCUGGCCUUUCUUCCAUUUCUACAGUGAAAGAUGGCUCUGCCUCCCACCCAAACUCAGACAGCAGGGAAUUUCCCAAACAUUGGAAAACCUUCAGAUGCAGAAUGCCCUCCCACUAAAAACAUUCCCAUCACUGUCCACUUGUACCAUUUAGUUCUAGUAUUUUAAAGAAAGUUCGCUUUAGGAAUUGAUUUUGAAUCUUCAUAAGUGAUUUUCCUUCUCCUCUUGAGAUAAUCAUAUGGUUUCUCUUAUUUGACCCAUUGGUAUGUUCUAUAAACAGAUUUACUAAUAUUAAAACAGCUUUGCAUUCUUCGGUAAACCCUAUUUGGCUAUGGUAAAUUAUUCUUUUAAUAUACUGUUGAAUUCAAUUUCCUGGCAUUUUGUCUAGAAUUUGCACAUUUAUAUUUAUGAGUGAGGUUGGUCUAGUUUUAUUUCACACUGUCUCUUUGCCAGCCUCAGUGACAUUCCGGGCUCUUCCUCCCAGGGAUUUUGUGCCCCCCUGGUUGGGAUUUGAGCCCUGAACUAUUUUUCAUAAACCAUAGGCUUUACAACAGUCCACGUGGCUCAUUGAGUGUGAGGAAAUUAUAGGAAUGGACACAGAUAUGGUGAGAAAUUCUAGACGCCCAAGGCAUCACUUAAAUCACUCUGGACAUUUAAUAGGGCCUACCAUGUGCCAGCUGCUGAAAUAUUCAACCUGAAGCUUAAAUAAGCUUCUCUGUGGGUAGAAUUUAGAUGAACCAUGAGAGUCAUUUGAAAAUAGAGACUGUGAGAGGAGACAGGAAAGGCCAUCUCAUCUACCUGUAUCUUAAGGUCGGGGGCGGGUGUGGGGGCGGGAACCUGAAGUCCAGAGAAGGGAAGAGACCUGCACCCAGAAUAUGAUCCAGGUGUCCCUGACUCUGUCCCUUGCUCUUUCAUACACAGGACAGCCAAAAACAAACAAACAAACAAACAAACAGAAAAGGUCCAGACUCUGGUGAAAAACAUGUUUCAGGCCCCUCAGCAAGAGUGGACAAGACAAACAUCUUUACAAGCCCCUCCCUAAAAGGUGCCCUGAACUGUCCAGAAGAGACAAACCGAAGCCCGGCACUGGAAGGGAGGAAAAGAGAGAUGACCCUCUCCCCGCAACAAGGUCAUCAGAGAGCUGGAAGCCAAGUGCCCUCCUCCACGUUCUCUCUACUGUGCCAUGUGGCUUGUGUUGAUACAGACCCUUGGGCUGGACCAAUCCUGGAAGAUCAAGAGCUGACUGGUGAGCCCAGGGCGAAAGUGGUGGGGAUAGGGUGAGAGGCGCAAUGCUCUGGGAUUUGUAGAAAAGUCAGGGUGGAGCCAGCACCCCUUUCUGUACCCUCCACUCACAUAGCACUAUGAUCCUAUAGGAGGCCCGGGGGAAGAAAGGGCUGCACAGAGUCAGCACAGAGAGGAGCAUUCUUGAGAAACAAGGACACGGAUGUUUAUUUGGGAGGUGAUCCCCUGAAGCACAGUGAUGAAGUAAGCAAGGUUAGACAUAGAAGACAAAGAAACAAUAAAGUGAAUGCUCUGAUGAAUGGGUUACUGUCAUGGGCAACUACGGUUGAUCCUUGGCAGCUUUCUGAAAACCAUGUGGCCCUUGCCUCAAAAUCAUGC
This 1659-nucleotide long non-coding RNA is filed under the name Macaca mulatta (Rhesus monkey). RNAcentral's name for it is "lncRNA (ENSMMUG00000043504.2)". Lineage: Eukaryota; Metazoa; Chordata; Mammalia; Primates; Cercopithecidae. The record is from RNAcentral.